This 510-nucleotide ribosomal RNA is filed under the name uncultured Glomus. Its description in RNAcentral is "SSU rRNA". It matches the Rfam family "Eukaryotic small subunit ribosomal RNA", at positions 569 to 1083 of the family's 1831-position model. The record is from RNAcentral. Lineage: Eukaryota; Fungi; Glomeromycota; Glomeromycetes; Glomerales; Glomeraceae.
AGCAGCCGCGGUAAUUCCAGCUCCAAUAGCGUAUAUUAAAGUUGUUGCAGUUAAAAAGCUCGUAGUUGAAUUUCGGGAUCAAUAUGUUGGUCGUGCCUCGGUACGUACUAGCUUAUUGGUUUCUCCUUUCUGAAGAACCAUGAUGUCAUUUAUUUGGUGUCGUGGGGAAUCAGGACUGUUACUUUGAAAAAUUAGAGUGUUUAAAGCAGGCUCACGCUUGAAUACAUUAGCAUAGAAUAAUGAAAUAGGACGUUUGAUUCUAUUUUGUUGGUUUCUAGGAUCGACGUAAUGAUUAAUAGGGAUAGUUGGGGGCAUUAGUAUUCAAUUGUCAGAGGUGAAAUUCUUGGAUUUAUUGAAGACUAACUACUGCGAAAGCAUUUGCCAAGGAUGUUUUCAUUAAUCAAGAACGAAAGUUAGGGGAUCGAAGACGAUCAGAUACCGUCGUAGUCUUAACCAUAAACUAUGCCGACUAGGGAUCGGAUGAUGUUAAUUUUUAAUGUACUCAUUCGG